RNAcentral lists this ribosomal RNA (2316 nucleotides) under Fujianacarus wisterianis. RNAcentral's name for it is "partial small subunit ribosomal RNA". It matches the Rfam family "Eukaryotic small subunit ribosomal RNA". Lineage: Eukaryota; Metazoa; Arthropoda; Arachnida; Trombidiformes; Eriophyidae. The record is from RNAcentral.
UGUAAAGUUCAAGCUCCGAUUAUGAGGGCGAAACCGCGAAUGGCUCAUUAAAUCAGUCAUAAUCUACUUGAUUGUUUAAAGUUUAUAUGGAUAACUGUGGUAAUUCUAGAGCUAAUACAUGCACAAAGGGGGCGACUCUCGCAAGGGAGAAGCUCUGCGUUUAUUAGACUAAGACCAAUGAGAGCCUAAAAAACUCUCUCUAAUUAGUGGUGACUCUGAAUAAAUAAUGGGUGAAAGCCCAUGUUGCCGACCUGACAUACCAAAAAGCUUUCCCUUCAUAGGGGUUUGCUUGUCAGGCAAAUCAAUCGAGUGUCUGCUCUAUCAACUGUGGAUGGUAGGAUAAUUGCCUACCAUGGUGGUGACGGGUAACGGGGAGUUAGGGCUCGACUCCGGAGAACAAGCCUGAGAAACGGCUAGUAGGACUAAGGUCUGCAGCAGGCGCGAAACUUACACAAUGCUAGAUUACCAUUUUAGCGAUGUAGUGAAGAAAAAUAACGAUGUACUUCCAUUUAAACAUGGUAGUACAAUUGGAAUGAGACGACUCUAAACCAGUCAGUCGAGUAACAAAUGGAGGGCAAGUCUGGUGCCAGCAGCCGCGGUAAUUCCAGCUCCAUUAGCAUACAUUAAAGUUGUUGCGGUUAAAAAGCUCGUAGUUGAAUUUCAUGCGAGUUUCGUUGGGGUGCAACCGUUCAAGGUCACGAGUAGGCUCCGUUGUCUACGCCUUAAAAAGCUAGCAUCGUCCUCUUGUUGGCUGGUUGUCGCUUUCCACUUGAAACUCGCUGUUUCGUCACUUAAUCAAGUGCGAAGCAAGCUGGAACAUCAAGUUGCGAUUCAUUUCGUAUACUAUGUUACAGCAAGUUUACCUUGAGAAAAUUAGAGUGCUCACAGCAGGCAGUUGGGGUGUAAAAACCUCUUUAUGCUUGAAUAAUGUUGCAUGGAAUAAUAGAAUACGGCCUCGGUUCUAUUCUGUUGGUCUUAUAGAACAACAAAUAAGUUGAUUGAGGCGUCAAACGGUCGGUUUGUGAGUGUGGUUAGAUUGUAGCUAGAUCUUGGUUCACUUGUUGCCUGGGGCCUUAAAAUCUCAGCUGCCUUGUAGCCAUGUUUAUCUAGUUCGCUAACCAUCUAAAGCACUCCUUACGCAGGCUAGCCUUUCCAAUCAACUGAGGCAAUGGUUAAAAGAAAUAGUCGCGGCGGCAUCAGUACUGCAUCGUGAGAGGUGAAAUUCUUAGACCGAUGCAAGACUAACUGAAGCGAAAGCGUUUGCCGAGGAUAUUUUCAUUAAUCAAGAACGAAAGUUAGAGGUUCGAAGGCGAUCAGAUACCGCCCUAGUUCUAACCAUAAACGUUGCCAACUAGCAAUUGGGUUGCGAUUCCUUUAAUCGAAGCGUAAAAAACUUCGAUCAUUAUGAUCCACCCAGCGGCUCUCGUAGGGAAACCAAAGUGUUUGGGUUCCGGGGGAAGUAUGAUUGCAAAGUUGAAACUUAAAGGAAUUGACGGAAGGGCACCACCAGGAGUGGAGCCUGCGGCUUAAUUUGACUCAACACGGGGAAACUUACUAGAUUAGAACUCUGGAAUGAUUGACAGAUUGAUAGCUCUUUCUUGAUUCAGAGGAUGGUGGUGCAUGGCCGUUCUUGAUUCGUAUUCCGAAACGUCUGCUUAAUUGCGAUAACGAGUGAGACCUCACCCAACUAACUAGUCGUUUGGUGCGCUGUUGGAACGCUAAAAUUCUAACUUGGUUUAAGGUAAGCUAGGUAGGGGAAACUUUGCUUGGUUUGCUACUCUUGUUAGAAUGUUCUCUGCUCGCCAGCGGACUUCUUAGAGGGAUAAACGGUGUUUUAGCCGUAAGAAACGAGGCAAUAACAGGUCUGUGAUGCCCUUAGAUAUUCUAGGCCGCACGCGUGCUACAAUGGCGUGUGCAGAAAGCUUGUUCGAGGUCUGACCAGAGAGAACUACUUACUUGGUUGGUGUGUUGGGGCAACCUAGCGCAUUAGUCGGUUUGAAAGUGACUCUGGUUUUUCCAGGCCGAGAGAAACCGUAGCCGAAAGGUUACGGCAAUCAUAAAUACACGCCGUGAUUUGGGAUUGGGGAUUGCAAUUGUUGCCCAUGAACGAGGAAUUCCCAGUAAGCGCAAUUCAUCAUAUUGCGUUGAUUACGUCCCUGCCCUUUGUACACACCGCCCGUCGCUACUACCGAUUGGAAGUUUUAGUGAGGCAUUUGGACCUGCUGGCUCUAGAGAAGGUAACUUCUCCUUGCUUGGCGGGGAAGUCUGUCGAACUCAAAUUUCUAGAGGAAGUAAAAGUCGUAACAAGGUUUCCGU